GGAUUCGAAGAAGCUUAAAGCAACAUGCCAAAGUGAGUUACUGCACGGAACAAACCUUGCUCUCCAAAGCAGCUUCAGAUAGCUGCAACUUCUCCACCAUCUUGUUAAGCUCCUCAGAAACCUAUUGGCAUGAGCAGGUUUUAAGUUUCUAUGUAUCAGAUAACAUAGGCUGAUGCACUCAUGAUACUACCUCAGCAAGAGCCUUGUCUUUGGCACGUUCUACCAACCUUAGGCCUUUAAUUUCACUAUAAGCUUCAGAUAGCUCACGGUCCUUAUCUGCAGUGGAAAACGCACAAAGUAUAUAAAACAGAAUAUCAAUAUCUUCACUUGGAAACUCUCCUUGUCAUGCUUGUAGUUGGUCGUCAAGAACAAGUUUCACCUUGUGAGACAACAAUGCAACUCAAUUUACCGUAGCAAUAGUUUUACUUGAAGGAUGGAAUUUGUGCAGUGGAACAUGAAAGAACCUAGGAAGAUAUUUCUUUCUUAUGAAAAGAAGUCCUGUAGAUUUCAUCCUCCUUUUUUCGGGGAGCAUGACUGCAUGAGGAAGCGGAAAGAAGAAAGAACAAAAACGUACCUUUGACUAGAUUCUGGAGGCGAUUCAGCUCGAUCUUGAAGGGGUCAGAACCAUGCAACAGGUUCAAGAAGUCUUCGUCGUCAAAACUGGUUCUUUUCGGUUGCUUCUUCUUCGCCGGCGGCAAGCCCAGACCCGCCUGCGACGAUGACGACGACGACGAGAAAUAGUAGUCGACGGCAUCCUCCUCCAGCAACCCAAACGCCGCCGAUUUGGAUUCCUCUUUCCCUCCGUUCUCCCCCAUGAGCGGAAUCGGAACUAGAGUACAGGGAAGGAGAAGAGCUUUCGACGAACAGUCUCCAAUCUAAUCCGAUGCAGUUGGAUCGAGUGAGUAUAACAAGUACAUGCUGCGAUCCUAAUGGCAGAGAUCAAAGAAACUAAUCCCGCUCAUUGUUACUUGGAACAGCAUGCAAAUGAUCAAAGCAAACAAAAAAACUGAGGAGACGAAAGAGAGAGAGAGAGAGAGAGAGAGAUACAAGAGUGUUCCACCGACGCAGCUGGAGCAGACCAGGAACAGCUCAGCAGCCGUGUCCUAACUGCAGAUUCGUCUACUGCUAAACAACUAAUUGCUUUCAGAGUGAGGCAGGCAGUUCCCCACCUGCUCGCUUUUGAGCUGUAAGCUGUUGCAUUGCACUGCUGUGGCCUGUGGGGGAAAAAAAAUUGAACCAGAUAAUACUGCGAUCGAUUCAGUCCUAUCCAAGUUUUCCAUUUGGUUGUCCUGAUAAAUUUGGAAAUGCUCAUGGUAAGCAGUCCAGAAGUUCAGUAUUCUAUGAUUACGCAUUUGCCGUGGCCUGCGGGAUCGCUGGCUCCUACUUGUCAUUUUCCUUGGGCUUUGAUUAAUUGCCAGACGUACGAGAAAUGGGACGGCAGGGUACUCCACCAUUAACCUUAUCUUAUCAUAAAUUAAAACAAAUUUUGAGAUCAUUGGAGCUGGAGCU
Molecule: long non-coding RNA, 1509 nt
Organism: Zingiber officinale
Lineage: Eukaryota; Viridiplantae; Streptophyta; Magnoliopsida; Zingiberales; Zingiberaceae
Exons: 3
Source: RefSeq, a predicted model, not a curated record